RNAcentral lists this ribosomal RNA (254 nucleotides) under uncultured bacterium. RNAcentral describes it as "partial 16S ribosomal RNA". It matches the Rfam family "Bacterial small subunit ribosomal RNA", at positions 524 to 776 of the family's 1533-position model. The record is from RNAcentral.
UACGUAGGGGGCAAGCGUUGUCCGGAUUUAUUGGGCGUAAAGGGCUCGUAGGCGGUCUGUCGCGUCUGCUGUGAAAACUCGGGGCUUAACCCCGGGCCUGCAGUGGGUACGGGCAGACUAGAGUGCGGUAGGGGAGACUGGAAUUCCUGGUGUAGCGGUGAAAUGCGCAGAUAUCAGGAGGAACACCGGUGGCGAAGGCGGGUCUCUGGGCCGUAACUGACGCUGGAGGAGCGAAAGCGUGGGGAGCGAACAGG